AACGAACGCUGGCGGCGUGCCUAACACAUGCAAGUCGAGGGAGAAAGUGACCUUCGGUCGCGAGUAAACCGGACGCACGGGUGAGUAACACGUAGGUAACGUACCUUCGAACCUGGGAUAACCAGUCGAAAGAUUGGCUAAUACCGGAUACGACCGAGGGGGCGUUCGGCUCUCACGGUGAAAGGCGGCCGAUGCUUGCAAGCUGUCAUUCGAAGAGCGGCCUGCGCACCAUAGCUAGUUGGUGAGGUAACGGCUCACCAAGGCUGAGAUGGUUAGCUGGUCUGAGAGGAUGGCCAGCCACACUGGGACUGAGACACGGCCCAGACUCCUACGGGAGGCAGCAGUGGGGAAUAUUGCGCAAUGGGCGAAAGCCUGACGCAGCGACGCCGCGUGGGUGAUGAAGGCCUUCGGGUCGU
Molecule: ribosomal RNA, 416 nt
Filed under: uncultured bacterium
Lineage: Bacteria
Description: bacterial SSU rRNA
Rfam family: Bacterial small subunit ribosomal RNA
Source: RNAcentral